This 809-nucleotide ribosomal RNA is filed under the name uncultured bacterium. RNAcentral's name for it is "bacterial SSU rRNA". It matches the Rfam family "Bacterial small subunit ribosomal RNA", at positions 1 to 817 of the family's 1533-position model. The record is from RNAcentral.
GAAUUCGCCCUUAGAGUUUGAUCCUGGCUCAGGACGAACGCUGGCGGCGCGCCUAACACAUGCAAGUCGAACGAGAGAUGAGGAGCUUGCUCUUCAAAUCGAGUGGCGAACGGGUGAGUAACGCGUGAGGAACCUGCCUCAAAGAGGGGGGACAACAGUUGGAAACGACUGCUAAUACCGCAUAAGCCCACAGCUCGGCAUCGAGCAGAGGGAAAAGGAGCAAUCCGCUUUGAGAUGGCCUCGCGUCCGAUUAGCUAGUUGGUGAGGUAAUGGCCCACCAAGGCGACGAUCGGUAGCCGGACUGAGAGGUUGAACGGCCACAUUGGGACUGAGACACGGCCCAGACUCCUACGGGAGGCAGCAGUGGGGAAUAUUGCACAAUGGGGGAAACCCUGAUGCAGCGACGCCGCGUGGAGGAAGAAGGUCUUCGGAUUGUAAACUCCUGUUGUUGAGGAAGAUAAUGACGGUACUCAACAAGGAAGUGACGGCUAACUACGUGCCAGCAGCCGCGGUAAAACGUAGGUCACAAGCGUUGUCCGGAAUUACUGGGUGUAAAGGGAGCGCAGGCGGGAGAACAAGUUGGAAGUGAAAUCCAUGGGCUCAACCCAUGAACUGCUUUCAAAACUGUUUUUCUUGAGUAGUGCAGAGGUAGGCGGAAUUCCCGGUGUAGCGGUGGAAUGCGUAGAUAUCGGGAGGAACACCAGUGGCGAAGGCGGCCUACUGGGCACCAACUGACGCUGAGGCUCGAAAGUGUGGGUAGCAAACAGGAUUAGAUACCCUGGUAGUCCACACCGUAAACGAUGAUUACU